This 164-nucleotide ribosomal RNA is filed under the name uncultured bacterium. RNAcentral describes it as "partial 16S rRNA". It matches the Rfam family "Bacterial small subunit ribosomal RNA", at positions 355 to 511 of the family's 1533-position model. The record is from RNAcentral.
UAGGGAAUCUUCCACAAUGGACGCAAGUCUGAUGGAGCAACGCCGCGUGAGUGAAGAAGGUUUUCGGAUCGUAAAGCCCUGUUGUUGGUGAAGAAGGAUAGAGGUAGUAACUGGCCUUUAUUUGACGGUAAUCAACCAGAAAGUCACGGCUAACUACGUGCCAC